AGUCACUGACAUUAGAUACCCUGUAGUCCCAGCCGUAAACAAUGUGCGUUAGGUGUGUCGGUAACCACGUGUUACUGAUGCGCCGAAGAGAAAUCGUGAAACGCACCACCUGGGAAGUACGGUCGCAAGGCUGAAACUUAAAGGAAUUGGCGGGGGAGCACCACAACAGGUGGAGCCUGCGGUUUAAUUGGAUUCAACGCCGGACAUCUCACCGGAUAAGACAGCUGAAUGAUUGUCAAUCUGAAGGUUUUACAUGACUAGCUG
Molecule: ribosomal RNA, 264 nt
Filed under: uncultured archaeon
Lineage: Archaea
Description: partial 16S ribosomal RNA
Rfam family: Archaeal small subunit ribosomal RNA
Source: RNAcentral